RNAcentral lists this ribosomal RNA (488 nucleotides) under uncultured bacterium. Its description in RNAcentral is "partial 16S ribosomal RNA". It matches the Rfam family "Bacterial small subunit ribosomal RNA", at positions 30 to 507 of the family's 1533-position model. The record is from RNAcentral.
UGAACGCUGGCGGCAGGCCUACCACAUGCAAGUCGACCGGUAACAGGAAUCAGCUUGCUGAUUCGCUGACGAGUGGCGGACGGGUGAGUAAUGUCUGGGAAACUGCCUGAUGGAGGGGGAUAACUACUGGAAACGGUAGCUAAUACCGCAUAACGUCGCAAGACCAAAGAGGGGGACCUUCGGGCCUCUUGCCAUCGGAUGUGCCCAGAUGGGAUUAGCUAGUAGGUGGGGUAAAGGCUCACCUAGGCGACGAUCCCUAGCUGGUCUGAGAGGAUGACAAGCCACACUGGAACUGAGACACGGUCCAGACUCCUACGGGAGGCAGCAGUGGGGAAUAUUGCACAAUGGGCGCAAGCCUGAUGCAGCCAUGCCGCGUGUAUGAAGAAGGCCUUCGGGUUGUAAAGUACUUUCAGCGGGGAGGAAGGGAGUAAAGUUAAUACCUUUGCUCAUUGACGUUACCCGCAGAAGAAGCACCGGCUAACUCCGUG